This 510-nucleotide ribosomal RNA is filed under the name uncultured bacterium. RNAcentral's name for it is "bacterial SSU rRNA". It matches the Rfam family "Bacterial small subunit ribosomal RNA", at positions 63 to 562 of the family's 1533-position model. The record is from RNAcentral.
CGAACGGUAGCACAGGGGAGCUUGCUCUCCGGGUGACGAGUGGCGGACGGGUGAGUAAUGUCUGGGGAUCUGCCCGAUGGAGGGGGAUAACUACUGGAAACGGUAGCUAAUACCGCAUAACCUCGAAAGAGCAAAGUGGGGGACCUUCGGGCCUCACACCAUCGGAUGAACCCAGAUGGGAUUAGCUAGUAGGUGGGGUAACGGCUCACCUAGGCGACGAUCCCUAGCUGGUCUGAGAGGAUGACCAGCCACACUGGAACUGAGACACGGUCCAGACUCCUACGGGAGGCAGCAGUGGGGAAUAUUGCACAAUGGGCGCAAGCCUGAUGCAGCCAUGCCGCGUGUAUGAAGAAGGCCUUCGGGUUGUAAAGUACUUUCAGCGGGGAGGAAGGGAUGAAGGUUAAUAACCUUCGUCAUUGACGUUACCCGCAGAAGAAGCACCGGCUAACUCCGUGCCAGCAGCCGCGGUAAUACGGAGGGUGCAAGCGUUAAUCGGAAUUACUGGGCGUA